AGACUUUGAGUGAGUCGGCGAUCGCGGAAGGGGGCACGGGAAGCGGUUGGGUUGCUCUGGGAAGUAUUAUGGGGCCUGGGUGCGCCGAGGCUGCGGGGGCCGGGCCUGGCUGACUUAAUCUUCGUUCCCCACACAUUGGUUUCCGCAGUUCGAAGCCCAGUUGGGCCGACCAGGUGGAGGAGGAGGGGGAAGACGACAAAUGUGUCACCAGCGAGCUCCUCACGGGGAUCCCUCUGGCCACAGGUGACACCAGCCCAGAGCCAGAGCUACUGCCGGGAGCUCCACUGCCGCCUCCCAAGGAGGUCAUCAACGGAAACAUAAAGACAGUGACAGAGUACAAGAUAGAUGAGGA
RNAcentral lists this small RNA (352 nucleotides) under Pongo abelii (Sumatran orangutan). RNAcentral describes it as "processed transcript". Lineage: Eukaryota; Metazoa; Chordata; Mammalia; Primates; Hominidae. The record is from RNAcentral.